GACGAACGCUGGCGGCGUGCUUAACACAUGCAAGUCGAACGGAAAGGCCCUGCUUUUGUUGGGUGCUCGAGUGGCGAACGGGUGAGUAACACGUGAGUAACCUGCCCUUGACUUUGGGAUAACUUCAGGAAACUGGGGCUAAUACCGGAUAGGAGCUCCUGCUGCAUGGUGGGGGUUGGAAAGUUUCGGCGGUUGGGGAUGGACUCGCGGCUUAUCAGCUUGUUGGUGGGGUAGUGGCUUACCAAGGCUUUGACGGGUAGCCGGCCUGAGAGGGUGACCGGCCACAUUGGGACUGAGAGACGGACCAGACUGCUACGGGAGGCAGCAGUGGGGAAUAUUGCACAAUGGGCGGAAGCCUGAUGCAGCAACGCCGCGUGCGGGAUGACGGCCUUCGGGUUGUAAACCGCUUUCGCCUGUGACGAAGCGUGAGUGACGGUAAUGGGUAAAGAAGCACCGGCUAACUACGUG
Molecule: ribosomal RNA, 468 nt
Filed under: uncultured bacterium
Lineage: Bacteria
Description: partial 16S ribosomal RNA
Rfam family: Bacterial small subunit ribosomal RNA
Source: RNAcentral